CAUUUUCUGAACUGAACCUAAAUUCACUGAGCACCAGAAUGUUUACAGUUUACAUUCAAGUUCAAAUGAUCUUAAUUAUGAGAGAGAGAGUGUGAUGGUGUGUGUGUACUGUAUAGUUUCCCCAUAAGGCUGAAUAAUCGCCUCAUUAAACACGUCAGUCAGGCAGAUCGUUUCUCCUGUGACUCCCAAACUGUGUUCUGAGAAUUGCUGUGAAGGUGCUGUCUCACACUCUCUCUCUCUCUCUCUCUCUCUCUCUCUCACACACACACACACACACACACACACACACACACACACAUACAGCGCCACUGUAUGAGGAACAGAGACACAAAGAAACGACACGCAUUCAACAAAACUCUUCAUACAGGACACAAGAACGUCACAGUUCAUGACGCUUUUAUCCAAAGCGACUUACAAAUGAGGAAAUACAAGCGAAGCGAUAUAUCACGCAGAGAACAAUACAAGA
Molecule: long non-coding RNA, 466 nt
Organism: Ictalurus punctatus (channel catfish)
Lineage: Eukaryota; Metazoa; Chordata; Actinopteri; Siluriformes; Ictaluridae
Source: Ensembl